AAGCCAAUGGGAAGAGGAAGCGGGCCGGCCAGGUGUAUCCAGGCGGCUAGCCAAUGAGGAAGUCCCACGGUAGAGCACGUGGCGGUUGUUGUGGCUGCUAUGGGGGCGUGGGGGUGUUGUGGCCAAUCAGAACUGUCGUUUGACAGCAUCUAGACGAGAACCAAUAGCAAGGACCCACGAGUUGCCACGGGGCGGGUCUAUGAAAAAAGGAGGCACACAACGAGUUGAGCGUGGGGCGGGAGGAGGAUGCUGGGCCUGCUUCGGGCCAACCUCCGGUUUACUGGUGACACUCUGUGAAACUUAAGAGUCCAGCUAUCACAUGCUGGCCCCAGUCGCGAUCCUCCUGGGUGUACGCUGUGGGGAGGACCCGGCUGAGGCGGCUGAGCCAUGCUGGAGCAAGUGGGCAGACUGGAGAUGGGCCAGCUUUAGCCAGCCAUUUAUUGAGGACCUACUGUGUGUCGAGCAUUCUGGAUAAAUGCUGGGGAUCCUGUAGCCAACAAAAGUCACUGUCUAUCGUGGUCCAGACAGUUCAAUAACCACACGACCUAGAACAGCUUCUUGAGGGAAAAUAAUGCCUGAGACGAAGCUCCUCGCUAUGAAAUUGAAAAUAAGAUCCGGAACCCGAGUGAACACGUCCCAGCUCCAGGGGAGAGAGGAAGGUUGACUGUGGGUUAGGAGCUGGCCCCCAGGCCUUGGUCACCCCCAUCUCCAGCCUGGAUCGAGAUAUGCAUCGGCUGUUUAAUUCCUACAACGUCUGAACCUGGAAUCCCUGAUACCCAUUUUCUCUUCUGGAUACAAACCCGAAACUACCCACCAGGAAAUCACUCUAACGCGCCCGCUCCUGUCCAUCCCGGAAGAAGAAGAGUAUGUUCUGAUAAUGAAGGCAAUGGAAAACAAGAAACAAGAAGGGAUGUGGAAGAGGCGGUGCCACCUGUCUGGGUCUCUCCCUGUCAUCCAGCCAUUUGUGAACCCGGCACCGCACCAGGCCACCAGUGCUGCUGGAAGCCGAUUAGCAGAGCCAGCCUAGAGAUCUCAAGUUACUCUCUGGAAUAACAUUCCUUGCUUAUUCCUAACAAUUUCCCUGCCAGUUUUUUUUUUUUUAAACUGUACUCGUGUGUGUGUGUGUGUGUGUGUGUGUGUGUGUGUGUGUGUGACUUCUGGGUCACCUUCUGCUGGCUCUCUGCCUGGUGGUCCUUGGAAAAGCCAGGCUGGGAGAGAAAUAGCAAGCCCCGGGGCUUUCCAAGCACUUUUGGUGACUGAACUCAGCGUGUCUGUCUGACUCCCUAAACCCGGAGGCUGCAAGGGAGGUUGCGUGGGUCAGGGUCCUCCAUUAACUUUAGGGCCAGCAUCAAGUAACCGCUGAGACCUCAUCUCCCAAACAGAUUACUGGGGUUACCUACGUGCAUACAAACAGCUUUGGGGAUGUACCUACUGCAAAAGGACUCAUUGCUCAGGGUUCCCGGCUCAGCCUCCGUCCUGGAUGGAUCUUAGAUCGCGCAAUGAACCCACUUUACGAGUUAUCUACGCGAUGGUGAUGGUGCAACUUCCAAGAAGCUUACUGACGCUUUUGACGCCCUCCCCGCCCCCAGUCACACAUGAGGAAACAGAGGCAGGAGCAUGGACUAAAGGCACUCGUGCAAAGAGAGGGCAUGGAGACUGCCCCCUCUCACCCCCCUCAAACUGAUGAAUCUCUCUUGGCAAAUGUGGAAGUGAGGACAAUACGAUAGCAACCGGCUGCGACCACAAACUGCCUCCAACUAUUUCUCCCCCCUCAAUGGUUCUCCAAGCCCUGUAAAAAUCUCACAGCUAGAGGUAACAUUCCAGUGUGAUUAAGAUGGAGAUUCAGAGAUCAGAAAGAGCUGUGGUCAAAACUUCCAGCCACAAGAGAAACCGGCCUCCAUCAUGUCUUCACGCUUCAAGAGCAGGACCCUUGAUUUCAAUCCUAAUGAGUUUUCUUUGCCUGUUUUCUCCUCCGACGCACACCCCCCCCCCCUUCCUGCUCUUUCCCGAUCCUAUCGUGCACAUUUAAAAAAAAUGGCUUUGCCACAAGUUCGGUGUACAGGAGUAGGAGAGUGUGGGUGAGCACUGUUUUAAGCUUUGCCAAAGUUUCCCCCAUUCUUUUUCUUCUCCCCUUGCCCCCCGACUCCCAAUCUCGCUUUCCCAUCUCCAGGGAUCUUGCAUAGAUCCUUCCAAAGGACCCAGCCUGGACCAGGUUCCUGAAGUGCAGGCUCUGCUGGAGUCUCCAUUCCCAGCCUUCCGCGAUUGGCCGACUUCCCUCCCUCCCUUCCUCUGCUCCCAUUGCGAAGUAUUUUUCCACAAUCAACCCUCCCAAUCCGGGGGGCAGUGGCCGCUGGAGAUUGUGGCAGCUACUCUACGGGUCGGCUAACCGACCAGCUCACGCCCGUUGUCCGCGUGAACAGUUGCCAAGGCAACCACCCGGCAGCCCCUCCUCCCUGCAGCGUAGGGUCCCCAGCAUGCUUUGCGCGGCGGAUUCUAGGAGGAGGGCAGGAAAUGCGGCCCUUCCCAGAAGCCCCUUGGUGGGGGCAGUCCUCUGAAGUAGGGAGCCGUGGGUGCCUCUCAGACGCCCACCCUAGUGGUGGGUAUGGGAGCUGGCGUUCAGAGUUAGAGCGUGUGUUCAAAAUUUUAAAACUAUAGCAGUUUGUGAUCUGUUAAAAAGAACAUUUAGAGUAUGUCUAAUGUUUUGAUGCUGUAAUGAUUGUAAGAUCAUAUUGAGCAUGCCAGUCCGAUAAUCCGCAUCGUAGCUCCUGAAUCCAUGGCUCAGGGAACAUCACAGAAUACCAGGAAGUCUGAGGUGAAACAGUCCCUAGACAUAGCUGCAGAAUUGUCAGCCUUCAAAGCUUAUAUGCACAAACAACAAAAUAGAGCUAGCAGGUUUAUAUAAUUUGUGUACACACAUAUAUAUGUAUGUACCAAUAAUUUAAAAGAUGAGAAGAACUAAGAAAGCCAGCCAGAGGCCAGGAUGGUGGUGCACACACCUUUUGUUUUGUUUUGGUUUUGGUUUUUGAUUUUUUCGAGACAGGGUUUCUCCGUCUAGUCAUGGCUGUCCUGAAACUCACUCUGUAGACCAGGCUGGCCUCGAACUCAGAAAUCCGCCUGCCUCUGCCUCCCAGGGUGCAGGGAUUAUAGGCAUGCCCCACCACCGCCCAGCUGGUGUAUACACCUUGGAUUCCAAGAUCUGGGAGGCAGAAGCAAGAGGAUCUCUGUGAGUUCAGAGUUAGCCUGUUCUGCAUAGACAGUUGCAAGACAGCCAGUUUAUAUAGACAGACCCUGUCCCAAAGAGCAACAAAAAUCCCUCAAACAAAUUAGCUUACAGAGCACUGGGGUCCCAUGUGGGAUUUCCAUGCAGCCUUGGUUUUGGUUAGCCCAUCCAUACCCACUCCUCACCUUCCCACUUUACCCCAUUCCUGCCUAAACCUUUUUAACCUCCAAUAUUACCCGCUUCUUGGUUGUCAUAUUUGAUUUACAACCUCCUUACGCUGUAAGACCUCUUUUUUGCCUUCCUGUCAUGGGCUCUUUCCAGCUCCCUUGGCUGUGGAGACACAGAUCUAAAAAUUCAAAGUGAUGUCCCACAUAUGAGGGAAAACAAGCAGCAUUUAUCCUUUUGGGUUUGGAGUUCUGACUGUCAUCCGCCAUAUUGCUUCCUCCAGUAUGUUUCUCUAUGUCGUUGUGGAAGGAGUAUUUAUCUUUUUUUUUUUUUUUUUUUUUUUUUGAGACAGGGUUUCUCUGAGUAGCCCUGGCUGUGCUGGAACUCACUGUGGAGGCCAGAUUGGCUUUGAACUCAGAUCUGCCUGCCUCUGCCUCUCAAUUGCUAGGAUUAACCCACCACUGCCCAGCUUCUUCCUUUCUUUCGUUUUGUCUGUUUUUGUUUUUGAGAGAGGCUCUCUCUAUGUAGUCCUGACUGUCCUCAAACUCAAUAAAUAAACCAGACUGGCCUUAAACUUACAGAGAUCUUCCUGUGUCUACCUCUCAGUAUAUAGAAGUUUUCUCAUGUGUGUGUG
Apodemus sylvaticus (European woodmouse) is the source of this 4019-nucleotide long non-coding RNA. RefSeq lists it as uncharacterized. Lineage: Eukaryota; Metazoa; Chordata; Mammalia; Rodentia; Muridae. The transcript has 6 exons. The record is from RefSeq and is a predicted model, not a curated record.